RNAcentral lists this ribosomal RNA (146 nucleotides) under uncultured bacterium. RNAcentral's name for it is "partial 16S ribosomal RNA". It matches the Rfam family "Bacterial small subunit ribosomal RNA", at positions 594 to 740 of the family's 1533-position model. The record is from RNAcentral.
GUGANUCCCAGGGCUCAACCCUGGAACUGCCUCUNAUACUGNNNGUCUUGAGNUCGAGAGAGGUGAGUGGAAUUCCGAGUGUAGAGGUGAAAUUCGUAGAUAUUCGGAGGAACACCAGUGGCGAAGGCGGCUCACUGGCUCGAUAC